Molecule: ribosomal RNA, 484 nt
Filed under: uncultured bacterium
Lineage: Bacteria
Description: partial 16S ribosomal RNA
Rfam family: Bacterial small subunit ribosomal RNA
Source: RNAcentral
AUUGAACGCUGGCGGCAGGCCUAACACAUGCAAGUCGAGCGGAUGAAGGGAGCUUGCUCCUGGAUUCAGCGGCGGACGGGUGAGUAAUGCCUAGGAAUCUGCCUGGUAGUGGGGGAUAGCGUCCGGAAACGGGCGCUAAUACCGCAUACGCCCUGAGGGAGAAGGUGGGGGAUCUUCGGACCUCACGCUAUCAGAUGAGCCUAGGUCGGAUUAGCUAGUUGGUGGGGUAAAGGCCUACCAAGGCGACGAUCCGUAACUGGUCUGAGAGGAUGAUCAGUCACACUGGAACUGAGACACGGUCCAGACUCCUACGGGAGGCAGCAGUGGGGAAUUUUGGACAAUGGGCGAAAGCCUGAUCCAGCCAUGCCGCGUGUGUGAAGAAGGUCUUCGGAUUGUAAAGCACUUUAAGUUGGGAGGAAGGGCAGUAAGUUAAUACCUUGCUGUUUUGACGUUACCAACAGAAUAAGCACCGGCUAACUUCGUG